Molecule: transfer RNA, 72 nt
Filed under: Dipodomys ordii (Ord's kangaroo rat)
Lineage: Eukaryota; Metazoa; Chordata; Mammalia; Rodentia; Heteromyidae
Rfam family: tRNA
About the family: Transfer RNA (tRNA) molecules are approximately 80 nucleotides in length. Their secondary structure includes four short double-helical elements and three loops (D, anti-codon, and T loops). Further hydrogen bonds mediate the characteristic L-shaped molecular structure. tRNAs have two regions of fundamental functional importance: the anti-codon, which is responsible for specific mRNA codon recognition, and the 3' end, to which the tRNAs corresponding amino acid is attached (by aminoacyl-tRNA synthetases). tRNAs cope with the degeneracy of the genetic code in two manners: having more than one tRNA (with a specific anti-codon) for a particular amino acid; and 'wobble' base-pairing, i.e. permitting non-standard base-pairing at the 3rd anti-codon position.
Source: Rfam by way of RNAcentral
GGAGGUAUGGUUUGGCAGUAGAGCACCUGCUUAGCAAGCAUGAGGCCCUGGGUUCAAACCCUAGUGCUGCCA